This 453-nucleotide ribosomal RNA is filed under the name uncultured bacterium. Its description in RNAcentral is "bacterial SSU rRNA". It matches the Rfam family "Bacterial small subunit ribosomal RNA", at positions 340 to 786 of the family's 1533-position model. The record is from RNAcentral.
UACGGGAGGCAGCAGUGGGGAAUAUUGCACAAUGGGCGCAAGCCUGAUGCAGCCAUGCCGCGUGUAUGAAGAAGGCCUUCGGGUUGUAAAGUACUUUCAGUCGUGAGGAAGGUGUUAAGGUUAAUAACCUUAGCAAUUGACGUUAGCGACAGAAGAAGCACCGGCUAACUCCGUGCCAGCAGCCGCGGUAAUACGGAGGGUGCGAGCGUUAAUCGGGAUUACUGGGCGUAAAGGGCACGCAGGCGGUUAAUUAAGUUGGAUGUGAAAUCCCCGGGCUUAACCUGGGAAUGGCAUUCAAGACUGGUUAGCUAGAGUCUUGUAGAGGGGGUAGAAUUCCAUGUGUAGCGGUGAAAUGCGUAGAGAUGUGGAGGAAUACCGGUGGCGAAGGCGGCCCCUGGACAAAGACUGACGCUCAUGUGCGAAAGCGUGGGGAGCAAACAGGGAUUAGAUACC